This 73-nucleotide transfer RNA is filed under the name Pangasius djambal. Its description in RNAcentral is "tRNA-Glu". It matches the Rfam family "tRNA". Rfam says of the family: Transfer RNA (tRNA) molecules are approximately 80 nucleotides in length. Their secondary structure includes four short double-helical elements and three loops (D, anti-codon, and T loops). Further hydrogen bonds mediate the characteristic L-shaped molecular structure. tRNAs have two regions of fundamental functional importance: the anti-codon, which is responsible for specific mRNA codon recognition, and the 3' end, to which the tRNAs corresponding amino acid is attached (by aminoacyl-tRNA synthetases). tRNAs cope with the degeneracy of the genetic code in two manners: having more than one tRNA (with a specific anti-codon) for a particular amino acid; and 'wobble' base-pairing, i.e. permitting non-standard base-pairing at the 3rd anti-codon position. The record is from RNAcentral. Lineage: Eukaryota; Metazoa; Chordata; Actinopteri; Siluriformes; Pangasiidae.
UCCACUGGAGGACUAGUGGUUAGGCCUCGGCGCUCUCACUGCCAUGGCCCGGGUUCGAUUCCUGGCUAGGGAG